Molecule: long non-coding RNA, 238 nt
Filed under: Elaeis guineensis (African oil palm)
Lineage: Eukaryota; Viridiplantae; Streptophyta; Magnoliopsida; Arecales; Arecaceae
Description: long non-coding RNA (EGUI_LNC022180)
Source: RNAcentral
UUCACUUGUUUGGCAUCGGUCAGAAGCAGCUUCAUCCGUGCGAAUGUACUUGUACGCACACUCUAGAAGUUCAGCAUAGAUCCGAGGGAGAGUUUUGUCAAGAGAGUAAGUAAAUCUGGAUCCCUUCAGAUCCCAUUUCAUGGCUGAUAUAGCCAUAUCUUCGUUGAGGUCCCUGACCUCAAGUGUGGCCAUGUUGAAUCGGGCCACAAAGUCUCUCUGUGUCUCUGUCACACCUUGC